UUAAAAAGCUCGUAGUUGGAUUUCUUUUCUUUGUCGCCGGAGGCCUUCUUCUAGUUGGUUCACCAGUUACAGGGGAAAACAUUUGUCGCAACACGUCGCGUUGCCUGUUAUGGGUAACAGUCGUUAAGUGACUCGUUUACUUUGAGAAAAUUAGAGUGUUCAAAGCAGGCAAUCGCCUUGAAUAUGUUAGCAUGGAAUAAUAACAUAGGACUUUAGUUCUAUUUGUUGGUUGUUCGAGAACUGAAGUAAUGAUUGAUAGGGACGGUUGGGGGCAUCUGUAUUCUCAAGCGAGAGGUGAAAUUCUUGGACCUUGGGAAGACAAACAGCUGCGAAAGCGUUUGCCUAGGACGUUCUCUUUAAUCAAGAACGAAAGUUGGGGGAUCGAAGACGAUCAGAUACCGUCGUAGUCUCAACUAUAAACUAUGCCAGCUAGGGAUCAGUGGGUCUUUUUACGAGUCCAUUGGCACCUUACGAGAAAUCAAAGCAUUUGGGUUCCGGGGGGAGUAUGGUCGCAAGGCUGAAACUUAAAGGAAUUGACGGAAGGGCACCACCAGGAGUGGAGCCUGUGGCUUAA
Molecule: ribosomal RNA, 574 nt
Filed under: uncultured marine eukaryote
Lineage: Eukaryota
Description: bacterial SSU rRNA
Rfam family: Eukaryotic small subunit ribosomal RNA
Source: RNAcentral